Molecule: ribosomal RNA, 955 nt
Filed under: Vibrio vulnificus
Lineage: Bacteria; Pseudomonadati; Pseudomonadota; Gammaproteobacteria; Vibrionales; Vibrionaceae
Description: bacterial SSU rRNA
Rfam family: Bacterial small subunit ribosomal RNA
Source: RNAcentral
CGUGGCAGAGCGCGGUAAUACGGAGGGUGCGAGCGUUAAUCGGAAUUACUGGCGUAAAGCGCAUGCAGUGGUUUGUUAAGUCAGAUGUGAAAGCCCGGGGCUCAACCUCGGGAAUAGCAUUGAAACUGGCAGACUAGAGUACUGUAGAGGGGGUAGAAUUUCAGGUGUAGCGGUGAAAUGCGUAGAGAUCUGAAGGAAUACCGGUGGCGAAGGCGGCCCCUGGACAGAUACUGACACUCAGAUGCGAAAGCGUGGGGAGCAAACAGGAUUAGAUACCCUGGUAGUCCACGCCGUAAAACGAUGUCUACUUGGAGGUUGUGGCCUUGAGCCGUGGCUUUCGGAGCUAACGCGUUAAGUAGACCGCCUGGGGAGUACGGUCGCAAGAUUAAAACUCAAAUGAAUUGACGGGGGCCCGCACAAGCGGUGGAGCAUGUGGUUUAAUUCGAUGCAACGCGAAGAACCUUACCUACUCUUGACAUCCAGAGAACUUUCCAGAGAUGGAUUGGUGCCUUCGGGAACUCUGAGACAGGUGCUGCAUGGCUGUCGUCAGCUCGUGUUGUGAAAUGUUGGGUUAAGUCCCGCAACGAGCGCAACCCUUAUCCUUGUUUGCCAGCGAGUAAUGUCGGGAACUCCAGGGAGACUGCCGGUGAUAAACCGGAGGAAGGUGGGGACGACGUCAAGUCAUCAUGGCCCUUACGAGUAGGGCUACACACGUGCUACAAUGGCGCAUACAGAGGGCGGCCAACUUGCGAAAGUGAGCGAAUCCCAAAAAGUGCGUCGUAGUCCGGAUUGGAGUCUGCAACUCGACUCCAUGAAGUCGGAAUCGCUAGUAAUCGUGGAUCAGAAUGCCACGGUGAAUACGUUCCCGGGCCUUGUACACACCGCCCGUCACACCAUGGGAGUGGGCUGCAAAAGAAGUAGGUAGUUAACCUUCGGGGGACGCUACCACUCGUAG